RNAcentral lists this ribosomal RNA (497 nucleotides) under uncultured bacterium. Its description in RNAcentral is "partial 16S ribosomal RNA". It matches the Rfam family "Bacterial small subunit ribosomal RNA", at positions 28 to 507 of the family's 1533-position model. The record is from RNAcentral.
GACGAACGCUGGCGGCGUGCCUAAUACAUGCAAGUCGAGCGAACAAACGAGGAACUUGUUCCUCUUACGUGAGCGGCGGACGGGUGAGUAACACGUGGAUAACCUACCUAUAAGACUGGGACAACUUCUGGAAACCGAAGCUAAUACCGGAUAAUAUCUUUAAACACAUGUUUCAAUAUUGAAAGACGGUUUUGCUGCAACUUAUAGAUAUAUCCGCUCGGCAUUAGCUAGUUGGUAAGGUAACGGCUUACAAAGGCAACGAUGCGAGCCCGACCUGAAGGGGUGAUCGGCCAAAUGGGAACGGAGACACGGUCCAGACUCCUACGGGAGGCAGCAGUAGGGAAUCUUCGGCAAUGGGCGAAAGCCUGACGGAGCAACGCGGCGUGGGGGAGGAAGUUCUUCGGAUCGUAAAACUCUGUUAUUAGGGAGGACCAAAUGUGUAAGUAACUAUGCACGUCUUGACGGUACCUAAUCAGAAAGCCACGGCUAACUACGUG